Molecule: ribosomal RNA, 859 nt
Filed under: Arthrobacter citreus
Lineage: Bacteria; Bacillati; Actinomycetota; Actinomycetes; Micrococcales; Micrococcaceae
Description: bacterial SSU rRNA
Rfam family: Bacterial small subunit ribosomal RNA
Source: RNAcentral
AUCCUCGUGCUUGCACAGAAUGAUUAGUGGCGAACGGGUGAGUAACACGUGAGUAACCUGCCCCUGACUUCGGGAUAAGCCUGGGAAACCGGGUCUAAUACCGGAUACAACGGACCACCGCAUGGCGGUCCGUGGAAAGCUUUAUGCGGUUUUGGAUGGACUCGCGGCCUAUCAGCUUGUUGGUUGGGGUAAUGGCCCACCAAGGCGACGACGGGUAGCCGGCCUGAGAGGGUGACCGGCCACACUGGGACUGAGACACGGCCCAGACUCCUACGGGAGGCAGCAGUGGGGAAUAUUGCACAAUGGGCGGAAGCCUGAUGCAGCGACGCCGCGUGAGGGACGAAUGCCUUCGGGUUGUAAACCUCUUUCAGCAGGGAAGAAGCGAAAGUGACGGUACCUGCAGAAGAAGCGCCGGCUAACUACGUGCCAGCAGCCGCGGUAAUACGUAGGGCGCAAGCGUUAUCCGGAAUUAUUGGGCGUAAAGAGCUCGUAGGCGGUUUGUCGCGUCUGCUGUGAAAGCCCGGGGCUCAACCCCGGGUCUGCAGUGGGUACGGGCAGACUAGAGUGAUGUAGGGGAGACUGGAAUUCCUGGUGUAGCGGUGAAAUGCGCAGAUAUCAGGAGGAACACCGAUGGCGAAGGCAGGUCUCUGGGCAUUAACUGACGCUGAGGAGCGAAAGCAUGGGGAGCGAACAGGAUUAGAUACCCUGGUAGUCCAUGCCGUAAACGUUGGGGCACUAGGUGUGGGGGACAUUCCACGUUUUCCGCGCCGUAGCUAACGCAUUAAGUGCCCCGCCUGGGGAGUACGGCCGCCAGGCUAAAACUCAAAGGAAUUGGACGGGGGUCCCGCACAAGCGGCGG